UACGGGGGGAGCAAGCGUUAUCCGGAUUCACUGGGCUUAAAGGGUGCGUAGGUGGGCAGUUAAGUCAGUGGUGAAAUCUCCGGGCUUAACCCGGAAACUGCCAUUGAUACUAUCUGUCUUGAAUAUCGUGGAGGUAAGCGGAAUAUGUCAUGUAGCGGUGAAAUGCUUAGAUAUGACAUAGAACACCAAUGGCGAAGGCAGCUUACUACCCGAAUAUUGACGCUGAGGCACGAAAGCGUGGGGAUCAAACAGG
This 253-nucleotide ribosomal RNA is filed under the name uncultured bacterium. Its description in RNAcentral is "partial 16S ribosomal RNA". It matches the Rfam family "Bacterial small subunit ribosomal RNA", at positions 524 to 776 of the family's 1533-position model. The record is from RNAcentral.